GGUUAAUUUUUUGGGUAUGAGAGUAGCGGACGGGUGAGUAAUGCAUAAGAAUCUAUCCAUCAGAGGGGGACAACUGCGGGAAACCGGAGCUAAUACCCCGUAAGCCGGAAGGUGAAAGGGAGCAAUCCGCUGAUGGAGGAGCUUGUGUCCUAUCAGGUAGUUGGUGAGGUAAGAGCUCACCAAGCCGAAGACGGGUAGCCGGACUGAGAGGUUGUACGGCCACAUUGGAACUGAGAGACGGUCCAGACUCC
Molecule: ribosomal RNA, 251 nt
Filed under: uncultured Jonquetella sp.
Lineage: Bacteria; Thermotogati; Synergistota; Synergistia; Synergistales; Dethiosulfovibrionaceae
Description: partial 16S ribosomal RNA
Rfam family: Bacterial small subunit ribosomal RNA
Source: RNAcentral